This 339-nucleotide unclassified non-coding RNA is filed under the name soil metagenome. Its description in RNAcentral is "partial contains 5.8S ribosomal RNA, internal transcribed spacer 2, and large subunit ribosomal RNA". The stretch from base 1 to 120 matches the Rfam family "5.8S ribosomal RNA", at positions 35 to 154 of the family's 154-position model. The record is from RNAcentral.
GAUGAAGAACGUAGCGAAAUGCGAUAAGUAGUGUGAAUUGCAGAAUUCAGUGAAUCAUCGAAUCUUUGAACGCACAUUGCGCCCUUUGGUAUUCCUUAGGGCAUGCCUGUUCGAGCGUCAUUUAAACCUUCAAGCUCAGCUUGGUGUUGGGUGACUGUCCGCCGCCUCCGGGCGCGUGGACUCGCCUCAAAAUUAUUGGCGGCCGGUACAUUGGCUUCGAGCGCAGCAGAAACGCGAACUCGGGCCCGUCGUAUUGGCUCCCAGAAGCUAUCUUCACAAUUUUGACCUCGGAUCAGGUAGGGAUACCCGCUGAACUUAAGCAUAUCAAUAAGCAGAGGA